AUGUAUUCAUUUCUUAAUCUGUCAGGAUCAGUCCUCCAUAUUCUCACUGUUUCACUGAUCGACAGGUGGGCAGAAAAGUGCCAACAAAGGCAGUGAAGUAGAAGACUAGCAAACAUGGAUGUAAACCUUUCUUUAAUACAGUCUAUGAUGUAAACAAUGCAGGUUUCAAAACUUUCAAAAGAAUUGGCUUUGUUUGAUGAAGAAGGACGUGCAUUCAACAUGUUUGUUAGACCUUAAUGAUUAACACAGUGUGUUUUGGUGAGAAACGCAGAGCAUAAGCAUGAAUUUUGUUUGUUUACAAGAAAACUCCAAGUCCGAAGUGACAACUUCAUGGGCAAUCUCAGAACAUUUUGCACUGGUGUGUACGGUUUCGGGUUGAAUGACAUGUUUGGUCGAAACUGUGUACAACGUUGCGCAACGUCCUUCCCCGGUUUGGUGGCUGUGUCACAGGUGUUACUCAAUGAGCAGCAAUAUGUAUAUAGAUACUCCUGUUUCAAAAAAGCGGGUAAGUGCACUGCGCUUGCGCAGCCUACACAACAGGGCGUUCAUAGCAACAAAGCAAUCCUAACCCCUUGCCACGUUUUGUCGGGGCUGAACUCGGCUAAAACUAGAAGAUAUUUAAUUUUAUAGUAGCCAUACAGACAGGCAGCCAUUCCUUACAUUUAAAAUGGAACCAGAUAAUGUUUGGCAUUUCAUCUAAAAAAUCUAUUAUUAAAGUAACUGAUUUAUUUUCUUAAUUAUUUUUUGCUUCAGCAUUUUAAAAAGGUUGAUUUCGGCAUUGAGACAGAAUUGCUAUGCUAAUUUUCUGUAGCAUUUUCUUUUGUUCAGAUUCAGAUAGACUUAAGGAAAAACUCUCCCCCAAAAUCCCCUUUCAAUGGGGGAAAAAUGUAAGAAACCUCAAGAAGAGCAACAGAGAAUCGGGAUGAGUUCCCUCACCCAGGACGGACAGGAAAUAGAUGUCAUGUGUAGGCCGACAGGAUCAUGGUAAAAUUACAGUUAGCCUAUGACAAUCAGGAUGACAAAAGAUAAACUCUUAAUAUAUGAAGGAUAUGGAUCUGGGGGGACGUCCAGCAACUUUCAGAUGCUACCAAACAGGCUAUCUGCCUCGAAGCUGCAGUUUGAUGUACCUCCACAAGAUGGCAGCAGAGAUCACAACAUAACUUCAUUCAAAUGAAUUCCAGGGUUUUGAAAUAAAUCAGGUCAAAGAGUCAUUUAAACAGAUGAGGCUGUUUCCAUUGCAUCAGUUGAGCGCUCGCCUGUGCCAAAGAGUUCCAGGAAGAAGCUAAAUACUUAACAUUACCUUAGAGAGGACACUCAACCAGGUACUUUACUGCUAAAUCUCAGAUCUGCUUCUUCACUUCCUUGUGUUGCUUAUGAGGGAAAAACAGGGCAGGGUGACGCUCACCUUUCACCUUUUUCCUGUAUGGUCCACGUUGAAGGGCAAAAACAACCCACAUAGUUUUCACCUAAAUAGUUUGAAUUCCUCAAUGAUAUAUUGUAAUAAAUGUGACUGUAGCAUUACUGUUUUUUGAUUUUAUCUUCUACCUUCUCUGGCACUUCAUUUUAUCUUUUACCUUCAAACAUUAGAAACAUCCCCUGAAAUACCAGCAAAGACUCUCCUCUGUUAUUUUUAUUUUAUCAAAUGAGGUUCCGGAGGAUCAAGGAAAUAUCAGAUGACACACCGGGUUUCUGUGACAUCCAUCUACGAGGGAGAACACGUCAUGAGGAUGUUUGUGAACUGUCUGUUAUUUAAAGGUUUACGUGGUUGGGAACUUUAAUGAUCCUGGAUAAAAAGCAAGGAUAGAGUUUACACUGAAAAUAUGAUAAUUCAGUCUCUUGCUGUAUGGCUAUCUCAAGCAGCCAAAUAACUUAGCUUAGCUAGGCACAAAGACUGGGAACAGGGGGAAACUGUUCUGAAAACAUCAUAUCACAACUGUUUAAAUAAAAUCAGCUUUAAAUUAAUCAAACCACUUUAUAAUUUAUCAGUCAAUUUUUCAUUUCACAUCCUAUUUUUCAGUUGCCAUGCAUUUACAACCUCCAUUUUGAUCAAUUAAAUUUUGUUACUUCUAUCCCUCAUA
Molecule: long non-coding RNA, 2078 nt
Organism: Micropterus salmoides (largemouth bass)
Lineage: Eukaryota; Metazoa; Chordata; Actinopteri; Centrarchiformes; Centrarchidae
Exons: 3
Source: RefSeq, a predicted model, not a curated record